GCUAACUGGUUAGAGGGUUCAGGGAAGCAGCAGGAAACAAAGUUGAAUAAAUAGGCACCACACACAGAGCCUUGCAUGUGCUAGGAUGAAGAUGCUGCAUAAGGCCUCUCGUGCCACUUAGAGCUCGAUGGAGCAGGACAGAAGGGUGGCAGAGAGAGGUUAAAGAAGAAAAUGAAGCAGGAAAAUAUGGAAAUCAGAGAGAGAUCAAAAUUGUAUGCUAUGAGCUUUUUUGAAGAAGGCAAGAUCAGAGUUGGAAAGAGAGGAAAGGAUUCAUGGAGAAUAUGAAAGAAGUGGAUGGAAAAAAUGAAAGAAAAAUAGACCCA
Molecule: long non-coding RNA, 323 nt
Filed under: Equus asinus (donkey)
Lineage: Eukaryota; Metazoa; Chordata; Mammalia; Perissodactyla; Equidae
Description: lncRNA (ENSEASG00005025537.1)
Source: RNAcentral